Molecule: ribosomal RNA, 460 nt
Filed under: uncultured bacterium
Lineage: Bacteria
Description: partial 16S ribosomal RNA
Rfam family: Bacterial small subunit ribosomal RNA
Source: RNAcentral
CCUACGGGUGGCAGCAGUGAGGAAUAUUGGUCAAUGGCCGGAAGGCUGAACCAGCCAUGCCGCGUGAAGGUCAGUGCCCUUUGGGCGUUAAACUUCUUUUGUGCGGGAGCAAUAAUGGUCACGUGUGGCCAGACGAGAGUACCGUACGAAUAAGCAUCGGCUCACUCCGCGCCCGACGCCGCGGUAAAACGGGGGAUGCAAGCGUUAUCCGGGUUUAUUGGGUUUAAAGGGUGCGUAAGCUGUGAGGUAAGUCAGCGGGGAAAUGCCCCCGCUCAACGGGGUGAAGUGCCAUUGAUACUGCCUUGCUGGAAUGCGGAUGCCGUGGGAGGAAUGUGUGGUGUAGCGGUGAAAUGCAUAGAUAUCACACAGAACACCGAUUGCGAAGGCAGCUCACGAAUCCGCGAUUGACGCUGAUGCACGAAAGCGUGGGUAUCAAACAGGAUUAGAUACCCCAGUAGUC